CCCUGGUGUGUUUUUGGUCGUCUACAUAAAAUACAAAACGAUAUACCUUUGUUAAAUUAUUUAGAAGAAUGAAUACGUAACUUAAUCUAAAUGGCUAAUGAUCAAUCAAAUGCACAUUAACUCCAGGUGUAUUUAGUUUACGAAUCCUGUGAACAUGUUCAUGAAUUAUUCACACUAGUUGUUGUAAAUAUUCUCAAGUAACAUCAUAAGCAUGUGAGUUAGUA
This 224-nucleotide long non-coding RNA is filed under the name Mytilus galloprovincialis (Mediterranean mussel). Lineage: Eukaryota; Metazoa; Mollusca; Bivalvia; Mytilida; Mytilidae. The record is from RNAcentral.